CUACGGGUCGCUGCAGUGGGGAAUAUUGCACAAUGGGCGCAAGCCUGAUGCAGCCAUGCCGCGUGUAUGAAGAAGGCCUUCGGGUUGUAAAGUACUUUCAGCGGGGAGGAAGGGAGUAAAGUUAAUACCUUUGCUCAUUGACGUUACCCGCAGAAGAAGCACCGGCUAACUCCGUGCCAGCAGCCGCGGUAAUACGGAGGGUGCAAGCGUUAAUCGGAAUUACUGGGCGUAAAGCGCACGCAGGCGGUUUGUUAAGUCAGAUGUGAAAUCCCCGGGCUCAACCUGGGAACUGCAUCUGAUACUGGCAAGCUUGAGUCUGGUAGAGGGGGGUAGAAUUCCAGGUGUAGCGGUGAAAUGCGUAGAGAUCUGGAGGAAUACCGGUGGCGAAGGCGGCCCCCUGGACGAAGACUGACGCUCAGGUGCGAAAGCGUGGGGAGCAAACAGGAUUAGAUACCCAAGUAGUC
RNAcentral lists this ribosomal RNA (464 nucleotides) under uncultured bacterium. RNAcentral's name for it is "partial 16S ribosomal RNA". It matches the Rfam family "Bacterial small subunit ribosomal RNA", at positions 339 to 795 of the family's 1533-position model. The record is from RNAcentral.